This 420-nucleotide ribosomal RNA is filed under the name uncultured archaeon. RNAcentral's name for it is "partial 16S ribosomal RNA". It matches the Rfam family "Archaeal small subunit ribosomal RNA", at positions 323 to 746 of the family's 1478-position model. The record is from RNAcentral.
CUACGGGCCGCACCAGUCGAGGAAAUUUUACAAUGCUCGCAAGAGUGAUAAAAUAAACCAGAGUGUUUCUCUUAGAGAAACUUUUGUUUGCUGUAAAAAGGCAGAUGAAUAAGGACUGGGCAAGACCGGUGCCAGCCGCCGCGGUAAUACCGGCGGUCCAAGUUGCAUCCACAUUUAUUGGGUCUAAAACAUCUGUAGCUUGUUUUGCAAAUUUCUUGUGAAAUCUCACAUCUUAAGUAUGAGGCGUGCAAGAAAAACUGCAUAACUAGAGACCGGGAGACGCAAAGAGUACAAUUGAGGUAGCGGUAAAAUGUAUUAAUCUUAAUUGGACUAACAACGGCGAAGGCACUUUGCGAGCACGGAUCUGACAGUAAGGGAUGAAGGCUAGGGGCGCAAAAGGGAUUAGAUACCCCCGUAGUC